GUAAGGCACUGAAAAUGCCUAGAUGAGUAACCCUAAACUCCAUAGACAUAAAGGUUUGGUAAUUACACAUGCGAGGGUCCCCUUACCGGUGAGAAUACCCUUUGAAUCCCAUACUGGAUUAAAAGGAGUAGGUAUCAAGCACACUUAUGAGUAGCUCACUACACCUUGCUUAGCCACAUCCCCACGGAAAUACAGCAGUGAUAAAAAUUAAGCAAUAAACGAAAGUUGACUUAGUUAUGCUAAUAUAGAGUUGGUAAAUUUCGUGCCAGCCACCGCGGUCAUACGAUUGACUCAAAUUAAUGGAGAACCGGCGUAAAGCGUGUUUUAGAAAUAAAAAUUAAUGAGAUUAAGUUCUAUCUAGGUCGUAAAAAACUUCAGAUUGAUACAAAGCCAGCAUGCGAAAGCAAUCUCAAUAACUCUGAAUACACGAUACCUAAGACUCAAACUGGGAUUAGAUACCCCACUAUGCUUAGGCGUAAACAUAAAAAAUUCAUAACAAAAUUAUUCGCCAGAGAACUACUAGCAACAGCUUAAAACUCAAAGGACUUGGCGGUGCUUCACAACCAUCUAGA
Molecule: ribosomal RNA, 572 nt
Filed under: Hystrix brachyura
Lineage: Eukaryota; Metazoa; Chordata; Mammalia; Rodentia; Hystricidae
Description: partial 12S ribosomal RNA
Rfam family: Bacterial small subunit ribosomal RNA
Source: RNAcentral